AUGCUGAUGCAAGUCCUCAAAGUGAAGGGGUAUCAGAUCCUAGACAUCAAACACCAAUUGCAAUCCAUAAAUGGCGACCGUGCCCAUUCUGAUGAUGACUACUGGAUGAGCAAUGGAUCUGAUCUCAUUGCCCGUCAUGAUGAUGGCAACCAUAUGGACUUCGAAGCUGGUGGGCCACGAUCCUAUGAGGAGACAAGGGAAAGCGGGGUCAAUAUUGGAAAAGGCCUAGAANNNNNNNNNNNNNNNNNNNNNNNNNNNCUGCCGCUUGUCAUUCCAGAAGGGAGGUUAAGGCCGGAGACACCUCUUCUGGCUGCAAAGUUUGCAACCGAAUGCAAUGUCACAGUCAGAGGCCAUGUGCCUGUGUUUAAACGCUGGAAGGAUUACAAGGACCCAGGCAGAAAUGUCCGAGAAGGGAUCUUCCAGAACUUUGUAGGCAAAGUUGGUAACAAAUUUAAGAUGGACGUAAAAGCUGUGCCCGUUAGGAAGGCUUGUACGCAAAUGCUGAAAGCCAAUACAUGUCUUUUGCACUUAAUGGGAGACAAAUACAAGGAGAAAGAACCCACUGCACUGGAUUUAUUCAAAGAGUGCCACUACAGCAGCAAAAAGAAAGGCUACACCGAUGCUGUGCAAGCUGCAAUUGAUGAAAUGGAAGAGAAAGCUACUCAACCUACAGAAGAUGGCCAACAAUCCAACUCUGCAACCAAGGCUGUGGCUGAAGUUCUUACUAAGCACACUAAGAAGCCAAUGUUUCUUAAGCAUGUGGGGGUCCAGCACGUGCAUGAGAGAUCCAAUCGUAGCGACCGUGAGGCAGAACAGGAAGCGCAGAAGAGGGGAAAUGCUGAGCUUCGGGCCCUUGUUGAAACCUUGAACAAUAAGUUACAGGAAUCAGAAGAAGCAAGGAUCAGGCAAGAAGAAGAAAGGACCAAGCAAGAAGAGGAGAACAGGAAAAAGCAAGCUGAGCUGGAAGCUAAAUUAGACUUUUUACUAAAUCAGAUUCAUCCAAGAUAA
This 1008-nucleotide ribosomal RNA is filed under the name Triticum aestivum (bread wheat). Its description in RNAcentral is "partial small subunit ribosomal RNA". The record is from RNAcentral. Lineage: Eukaryota; Viridiplantae; Streptophyta; Magnoliopsida; Poales; Poaceae.